GGGAUAACCUCGGGAAACCGAGGCUAAUACCGCAUAAUAUCGAAAGAUCAAAGGAGAAAUCCGCUUUUGGAGGGGGUCGCGGCUGAUUAGCUAGUAGGUAAGGUAAUGGCUUACCAAGGCGAAGAUCGGUAUCCGGCCUGAGAGGGCGCACGGACACACUGGAACUGAAACACGGUCCAGACUCCUACGGGAGGCAGCAGUGGGGAAUUUUGCGCAAUGGGGGAAACCCUGACGCAGCAACGCCGCGUGGAGGAUGAAGCCCCUUGGGGUGUAAACUCCUUUCGACUGGGAARGAUUAUGACGGUACCAGUGGAAGAAGCACCGGCUAACUCUGUGCCAGCAGCCGCGGCAAUACAGAGGGUGCGAGCGUUGUUYCGGAAUUAUUGGGCGUAAAGGGCGCGUAGGCGGUACRGUAAGUCACCUGUGAAACCUUUGGGCUUAACUUAAGCCUUGCCGGCGAAACUUGCC
Molecule: ribosomal RNA, 468 nt
Filed under: uncultured bacterium
Lineage: Bacteria
Description: bacterial SSU rRNA
Rfam family: Bacterial small subunit ribosomal RNA
Source: RNAcentral